CCGCCAGAAAUUACAGGAAUAGUCGGAAAAGGUUGAGAGUCGAUGAGGAAGAAAUAGAAGAAAAUAUUUUGUUGGUUGACUGUAUUAAUAGGCAAAAAAAGAUUAAUCAUAGACUGGUAGAAGAAGUAGAGGAUGGUGAUAGUUAGAGAGAAGAAUCCGUUGAAGAUGACGAUAAAUUAGUGGAAAAUAGCGUUGAUGGUGGUGAAGAAAAAAUACAUAAGGUUGAAGAAGAAGGGGAAAAAAUGGUGAUGGUAAGGAAAAGGAAAUUUUUGAUGAUGAAGAAGAAGGGGAAAAUUCAGGUGAUAGUUAGAAGGAAGAAGGAGAAAAUAAAGACGAUGAGAUUGUCAUAGACAUUCGAAAUUAUGGAUUGACCACGUAGAGGACUAUAUUUGGUGGUUCUUCCCCGGCAAGAUCGCAGUAAGACCUUACAAUUUUUUUUGAAACAAUUGUAUUGACCACUUCUUGAAACUUUCACCACACUAGGUUGGACUCAAUGGAAAAUUGGUUCAUUUUCUUCUUCUUCGUCAAGUUACAAACUAUAAGAAAAAGCAUGAGAUGUGAUUCGUAGUGGAGGGAGUGCCCUAUUGUUUUGACCUAAGGGAAUUUGCACUGGUCUCAAGAUUGAAUUGCGAGGAAUUUGUUAGUAAUAACAAGCUUGUGAAAAUGUAGCAAAAGUGAGAGUAUCUUAAAAAGCUAAAAGAUAACACCAAUGGUCGAGCCCGACUGGGCUGGUGGAUUUGAUGUGAAGAAGGGAUAUUGACAAAGAGAGAGAAGUUUAAGACCUUAAUGAUUUGUAUCGUCCAUACCAUCUCGUUUGCUCGUGAUGCACUGAGCAACGUCGAUAAGAAGUGGAUCACCAUGACGGCUAGUGUAAGAUGCUUGACGAAUAUCCAUGGGGCAAGGAAUGCUUUAAUCUGACCCUUGAUUAUCUCAAGAACGUGGUGGACAUGGAGAAGCUCUAUAAAGUAUCUUGUGAUAGAAAGGAAAUACCACAAUAUGCUCUUUACAACUAUCCUCGGCAUUCAUUGUGAGUAUUUUAUUAUGAAUCUAUAUGCAGAUUAUUAUAGACAAUUAGGUGGGUGGUUUAUCUUACCGCUUAUUAUACUUAUAUUUAUUAAAGGCAUGGGCAUACGAAGUUUUCUCAUUCGUUGAGAAAAAUGGUGUCUGAUCUAGAGAACGUCCUUUGCCAAUUCCAAGGAUGUUGAGAUGUGCAAGGAGAAAGUGAUCGAAGCUACUAAUCCUUUCAAAAUUAAAUUGACACCAGUGUGAGAAUGAGAAGGACUACAUUAUAUCUUCUAGAUUAUGACAACGAAAUACUGAGCCAGAAUGUUAAUGUCCUAAAGAGGGAGAUUAGUAAUACUCAUCAAUUUCGUGCGAGCAAGGAACUUGCAUCUGGUUCUUUGGACGAAUAUGAUCAAGAUUGGGCAGGGGUAAAGUGACGUGCAACCAUUGUGGUGAUCAAUGAUUAAUGU
Molecule: long non-coding RNA, 1472 nt
Organism: Lycium ferocissimum
Lineage: Eukaryota; Viridiplantae; Streptophyta; Magnoliopsida; Solanales; Solanaceae
Exons: 3
Source: RefSeq, a predicted model, not a curated record